AGCAAACGGCACAUAAGCCACAGAAGGGGUGCAGUACGGUGGCCCCCUCUGCGGAGAGGGGCCAGGAACGGCGCAGACGGAGCGCUCGCUGGACACAGCGGCACGCAGCAGCAUGGUACAGGAGAAGAAAAAGAUUCCAGUGAGCCAGUAGCGGUGAUCCCGUUAGUGACGGUGCCGUCUGCCCUCACACUGACUCUCCUCUCACUGCCCCUCACGCCAGCCACAAAGGUUUGCAAAGCUGCCGUUGGCCUCACUGUGGACCCCAGGCUGGCCUCAAACUCAGUGAUCCUUCUGCCUCAGCCUCCCCAGCGCUAGGAUUACAGGCGUGCACCGCCACGCCAGACUUCACUUAGCUCUUCGACCACACUGAGCAGAACCUUCCUCCCGCUCUGCAAGGUCAAAGGCCCGCUGUACACCUAC
Heterocephalus glaber (naked mole-rat) is the source of this 420-nucleotide long non-coding RNA. RefSeq lists it as uncharacterized. NCBI's taxonomy places the organism in Eukaryota, Metazoa, Chordata, Mammalia, Rodentia, Bathyergidae. The record is from RefSeq and is a predicted model, not a curated record.